This 266-nucleotide ribosomal RNA is filed under the name uncultured bacterium. RNAcentral describes it as "partial 16S ribosomal RNA". It matches the Rfam family "Bacterial small subunit ribosomal RNA", at positions 88 to 353 of the family's 1533-position model. The record is from RNAcentral.
AUGGCGACCGGCGCACGGGUGAGUAACACGUAUCCAACCUGCCGAUGACUCGGGGAUAGCCUUUCGAAAGAAAGAUUAAUACCCGAUGGCAUAGUUCUUCCGCAUGGUGGAGCUAUUAAAGAAUUUCGGUCAUCGAUGGGGAUGCGUUCCAUUAGGUUGUUGGCGGGGUAACGGCCCACCAAGCCUUCGAUGGAUAGGGGUUCUGAGAGGAAGGUCCCCCACAUUGGAACUGAGACACGGUCCAAACUCCUACGGGAGGCAGCAUG